AAGGCGCGGUAAAACGCGCUGGAGGACCGAACCCACGUAAGUUGAAAAUUGCGGGGAUGAGUUGUGGGUAGCGGUGAAAUUCCAAACGAACUUGGAGAUAGCUGGUUCUCUCCGAAAUAGCUUUAGGGCUAGCCUCGCAAAGAGGAUGCUGGAGGUAGAGCUCUGUUUGGACUAGGGGCCCGUCAAGGGUUACUGAAUUCAGAUAAACUGCGAAUUCCAGACAUUUAUGUGCGGGAGUCAGACUGCGAGUGAUAAGAUCCGUAGUCGAAAGGGAAACAGCCCAGAUCAC
RNAcentral lists this ribosomal RNA (289 nucleotides) under Vibrio parahaemolyticus. RNAcentral's name for it is "partial 23S ribosomal RNA". It matches the Rfam family "Bacterial large subunit ribosomal RNA", at positions 748 to 1035 of the family's 2925-position model. Lineage: Bacteria; Pseudomonadati; Pseudomonadota; Gammaproteobacteria; Vibrionales; Vibrionaceae. The record is from RNAcentral.